GUCUCUCAGCCUGACCCCUCUCUCCCACCCCAGGUUGCAGCAGUCAUAAGCACCGUUUUUCAGGUCCCUGAACGAACCUGACUCUCUCCCAUGCUGUUCCCUCUGCCUGGAACACUCUUUUCCCGACUCUGUCUGGUGCAAUUCUGUGUUAAUAUAAGAGAAGUGUGGCCUUCCUUCUCAUAGGACUAGAAGUGAGAUAAUCCCUGUGUAAGAAAUCACUUAACUUUCUCAACUCAAGUCUCAUUAUCAUCACUUUGUCGAUGAGGAAACCAAGUAGUUAGUGGACUUACAAACGUAGGAGACAAAACUGGGAUCGAAAC
RNAcentral lists this long non-coding RNA (320 nucleotides) under Bos indicus x Bos taurus (hybrid cattle). Its description in RNAcentral is "lncRNA (ENSBIXG00005026329.1)". The record is from RNAcentral. Lineage: Eukaryota; Metazoa; Chordata; Mammalia; Artiodactyla; Bovidae.